Molecule: ribosomal RNA, 343 nt
Filed under: uncultured bacterium
Lineage: Bacteria
Description: bacterial SSU rRNA
Rfam family: Bacterial small subunit ribosomal RNA
Source: RNAcentral
AACGAACGCUGGCGGCGUGGAUAAGACAUGCAAGUCGAACGGGAUUACUUUGUAGCAAUACAGAAGUAAUUCAGUGGCGAACGGGUGCGUAACACGUGGGCAAUCUGCCGAGAAGUGGGGGAUAGCUCGCCGAAAGGCGAAUUAAUACCGCAUAUGAUCAGGGACGACAUCUUCCCAACAUCAAAGCCGGGGCAACCUGGCGCUUUUUGAGGAGCCCGCGGCCUAUCAGCUAGUUGGUGAGGUAACGGCCCACCAAGGCUAUGACGGGUAGCUGGUCUGAGAGGACGACCAGUCACACUGGAACUGAGACACGGUCCAGACACCGUACGGGUGGCAGCAGUCG